Molecule: transfer RNA, 73 nt
Filed under: Liolaemus tenuis punctatissimus
Lineage: Eukaryota; Metazoa; Chordata; Lepidosauria; Squamata
Description: tRNA-Trp
Rfam family: tRNA
About the family: Transfer RNA (tRNA) molecules are approximately 80 nucleotides in length.
Source: RNAcentral
AGGAAUUUAGGAUAUUUACUUAAACCAUGGACCUUCAAAGUCCAAAAAAAAGGUGCAAACCCUUUAACUCCUG